RNAcentral lists this long non-coding RNA (1020 nucleotides) under Vulpes vulpes (red fox). Its description in RNAcentral is "lncRNA (ENSVVUG00000018105.1)". The record is from RNAcentral. Lineage: Eukaryota; Metazoa; Chordata; Mammalia; Carnivora; Canidae.
AGGCUUGUGUGGCUUUUUAUUUCUUAAAAAUAGCAUUUCUUUUUACCACAAUGGCAUAGGAACUUGUGUCCCCAGCAAUAGUAAACAAAUUAGCUUCUUUUAUCUGAAAAACAAGUAGAGUAAGUCUCUCUCUCUUUUUUAUAAAAAGAAAAUGCAAAACAAAAAUUCUCCCUCCUCUUAAAGGCUUCUUUGCUGGUGAGUGUUUGUCCAGGAACAAAUAGUCUUUUAUUCCAAUGGUCUCCAAAAGUUCAUAAGCAAAAAAAGUGUCCAGCGUCUGCUUCCCGACAAUACGGUCUCUGGCUGCAUAGUGAAGCUUUUCUGUCCUGAAUUUGUGAUCUGUUAUCAGAGUCCUUUAAUUUCUGCGAACAGAAGGCUCUUUGGGAGAAGAAAGCUGGGGGGUGGGGAGUGACAUUGGAAUCAGUCUUUUUUCCCCCCUUUUGCUGUUUUCUUCCAGUCAGCAAGUAGUGCUUGAAUUCUUCUGAUCUUUCCCAGCAUCUUAUUGAGAUUCUACUGUGCUUCCGGAGCCGACAAUUUGCAGGAUUCCUGGGGGCACCUUCCUACCAUAGAGCCUGCCUGCAACCAGCAUCUGCCCAGAUUCCCUCCACGUGCAGAGCAGGUAAUCAGCUGAGAGGUCAGAUGCUGUCCCUGGUCUCUGCAAGUCUUCUUUGCCUUGACUGAAAAGCCAGCAAUAUUGACCAAAAGCCAGACACAGCUAUUGCAGAGCAAACACUGGUGAGGGUGGGGGAGGGGAAGGUGUAGGGGCUGCGUCUCCACCUGCUGAGGAGAGAGGCUUGGGUUCUGUAGAUCUGAGGUGAGAGAUCUCAUGGUGUGUCUAGCAAGACCAACAUUUUCCCCUCAGGAGAGUUUGUGUCCACCAGGAGCUGUCCCCUAAGAGCUGGAGGGGUCUUCUUUUCUCUGAUGGGCCUGCUGUUCGGCAUCCGGGAUCUGCUUCAGGUUCAGGGAGGCCUAGGGCAUCCCAUGUUCUGUCCCAGCUUCCAGGGCAAGAGCUUUGGUUCCCCC